This 480-nucleotide unclassified non-coding RNA is filed under the name Hevea brasiliensis (rubber tree). Lineage: Eukaryota; Viridiplantae; Streptophyta; Magnoliopsida; Malpighiales; Euphorbiaceae. The record is from RNAcentral.
AGUGCAGCAAGAGUGUACCAGUCGGAUAAGAAAUGUUGUCCCUCAAAAAAAUAGAGCUCACUUAUUCUUUUGCCUGUCAUUAGUUCUAACAAUACCACUCCAAAUGCAUAAACAUCAACUUUCUGUGUAAUUUUUCCACCAUCAAUGUACUCUGGUGCCAGAUACCCUGAAGUUCCAAUCACUCGUUCUUCUGUACUAAUGUUCCAUUCAGAGUGCCACCUAGCAAGCCCAAAAUCAGCAGCCAGGGGUUCAAAAUCAUGCGUUACGAGGAUAUUAUUGGGCCUCAUAUCUCUGUGUACUAUACAACCCACUCUACAUUCUUCAUGAAGAUAUCUUAAGCCCCUAGCUGUCCCAAUUGCUAUUUUCAUCCGUGAGUGCCAAUCUAGAGGUGCUCUCUUGUUUCCAUGCAAAUGGAAGUCCAGGGAGCCAUUGCAUAUGUACUCAUAGACCAAUAUUCUCUUUUUCCCAUCAAUGCAAAAC